This 323-nucleotide long non-coding RNA is filed under the name Mytilus galloprovincialis (Mediterranean mussel). The record is from RNAcentral. Lineage: Eukaryota; Metazoa; Mollusca; Bivalvia; Mytilida; Mytilidae.
GUCUAAUGAACUUAAAAGUUUUUUUUUUUGCCUUUGAGCAAUUCACUAUGCUGUUGAAUAUUAAUCCUCUCAAAAAAAUGUUUGAAGAAAUUUUCUUUUUAUUUAUGAAAUCUGAAAUGAGAAAAAUUUAAACCCCCCCUUUUUUUUCACAUCCCCGUUUCCCUUUCUCCAAAACUGAUAUCAAUUCAAAUUUCUAAUGGAGUUUGCAACAAUAACUACUCUUUUAAAUACAUCAUAAAAUAUUAAAAUGUAAAAUAAAGUGCUUGUUAUCACUGAAUGGUAAAGAUUGGUUGGUAGUAAAAGUGAAUAUACAUUGUUUAUUG